UACGGAAGGCAGCAGUGGGGAAUAUUGCACAAUGGGCGAAAGCCUGAUGCAGCUAUGCCGCGUGUAUGAAGAAGGCCUUAGGGUUGUAAAGUACUUUUCAUCGGGGAGGAAAAACAAAACUAAUAAUUUUAUUUCUUGACGUUACCCGAAAAAGAAGCACCGGCUAACUCCGUGCCAGCAGCCGCGGUAAUACGGAGGGUGCUAGCGUUAAUCAGAAUUACUGGGCGUAAAGAGCACGUAGGUGGUUUUUUUAAGUCAGAUGUGAAAUCCCUGGGCUUAACCUGGAACUGCAUUUUGAAACUGAAAUACUAGAGUAUCGUAGAGGGAGGUAGAAUUCUAGGUGUAGCGGUGAAAUGCGUAGAUAUCUGGAGGAAUCCUGUGGCGAAAGCGGCCUCCUAAACGAAUACUGACACUGAGGUGCGAAAGCUGGGGAGCAAACAGGGAUUAGAUACC
RNAcentral lists this ribosomal RNA (453 nucleotides) under uncultured bacterium. RNAcentral's name for it is "bacterial SSU rRNA". It matches the Rfam family "Bacterial small subunit ribosomal RNA", at positions 340 to 786 of the family's 1533-position model. The record is from RNAcentral.